This 2904-nucleotide ribosomal RNA is filed under the name Escherichia coli. RNAcentral's name for it is "23S ribosomal RNA". It matches the Rfam family "Bacterial large subunit ribosomal RNA". Lineage: Bacteria; Pseudomonadati; Pseudomonadota; Gammaproteobacteria; Enterobacterales; Enterobacteriaceae. The record is from RNAcentral.
GGUUAAGCGACUAAGCGUACACGGUGGAUGCCCUGGCAGUCAGAGGCGAUGAAGGACGUGCUAAUCUGCGAUAAGCGUCGGUAAGGUGAUAUGAACCGUUAUAACCGGCGAUUUCCGAAUGGGGAAACCCAGUGUGAUUCGUCACACUAUCAUUAACUGAAUCCAUAGGUUAAUGAGGCGAACCGGGGGAACUGAAACAUCUAAGUACCCCGAGGAAAAGAAAUCAACCGAGAUUCCCCCAGUAGCGGCGAGCGAACGGGGAGCAGCCCAGAGCCUGAAUCAGUGUGUGUGUUAGUGGAAGCGUCUGGAAAGGCGCGCGAUACAGGGUGACAGCCCCGUACACAAAAAUGCACAUGCUGUGAGCUCGAUGAGUAGGGCGGGACACGUGGUAUCCUGUCUGAAUAUGGGGGGACCAUCCUCCAAGGCUAAAUACUCCUGACUGACCGAUAGUGAACCAGUACCGUGAGGGAAAGGCGAAAAGAACCCCGGCGAGGGGAGUGAAAAAGAACCUGAAACCGUGUACGUACAAGCAGUGGGAGCCUCUUUAUGGGGUGACUGCGUACCUUUUGUAUAAUGGGUCAGCGACUUAUAUUCUGUAGCAAGGUUAACCGAAUAGGGGAGCCGAAGGGAAACCGAGUCUUAACUGGGCGUUAAGUUGCAGGGUAUAGACCCGAAACCCGGUGAUCUAGCCAUGGGCAGGUUGAAGGUUGGGUAACACUAACUGGAGGACCGAACCGACUAAUGUUGAAAAAUUAGCGGAUGACUUGUGGCUGGGGGUGAAAGGCCAAUCAAACCGGGAGAUAGCUGGUUCUCCCCGAAAGCUAUUUAGGUAGCGCCUCGUGAAUUCAUCUCCGGGGGUAGAGCACUGUUUCGGCAAGGGGGUCAUCCCGACUUACCAACCCGAUGCAAACUGCGAAUACCGGAGAAUGUUAUCACGGGAGACACACGGCGGGUGCUAACGUCCGUCGUGAAGAGGGAAACAACCCAGACCGCCAGCUAAGGUCCCAAAGUCAUGGUUAAGUGGGAAACGAUGUGGGAAGGCCCAGACAGCCAGGAUGUUGGCUUAGAAGCAGCCAUCAUUUAAAGAAAGCGUAAUAGCUCACUGGUCGAGUCGGCCUGCGCGGAAGAUGUAACGGGGCUAAACCAUGCACCGAAGCUGCGGCAGCGACACUAUGUGUUGUUGGGUAGGGGAGCGUUCUGUAAGCCUGCGAAGGUGUACUGUGAGGUAUGCUGGAGGUAUCAGAAGUGCGAAUGCUGACAUAAGUAACGAUAAAGCGGGUGAAAAGCCCGCUCGCCGGAAGACCAAGGGUUCCUGUCCAACGUUAAUCGGGGCAGGGUGAGUCGACCCCUAAGGCGAGGCCGAAAGGCGUAGUCGAUGGGAAACAGGUUAAUAUUCCUGUACUUGGUGUUACUGCGAAGGGGGGACGGAGAAGGCUAUGUUGGCCGGGCGACGGUUGUCCCGGUUUAAGCGUGUAGGCUGGUUUUCCAGGCAAAUCCGGAAAAUCAAGGCUGAGGCGUGAUGACGAGGCACUACGGUGCUGAAGCAACAAAUGCCCUGCUUCCAGGAAAAGCCUCUAAGCAUCAGGUAACAUCAAAUCGUACCCCAAACCGACACAGGUGGUCAGGUAGAGAAUACCAAGGCGCUUGAGAGAACUCGGGUGAAGGAACUAGGCAAAAUGGUGCCGUAACUUCGGGAGAAGGCACGCUGAUAUGUAGGUGAAGUCCCUCGCGGAUGGAGCUGAAAUCAGUCGAAGAUACCAGCUGGCUGCAACUGUUUAUUAAAAACACAGCACUGUGCAAACACGAAAGUGGACGUAUACGGUGUGACGCCUGCCCGGUGCCGGAAGGUUAAUUGAUGGGGUUAGCGGUAACGCGAAGCUCUUGAUCGAAGCCCCGGUAAACGGCGGCCGUAACUAUAACGGUCCUAAGGUAGCGAAAUUCCUUGUCGGGUAAGUUCCGACCUGCACGAAUGGCGUAAUGAUGGCCAGGCUGUCUCCACCCGAGACUCAGUGAAAUUGAACUCGCUGUGAAGAUGCAGUGUACCCGCGGCAAGACGGAAAGACCCCGUGAACCUUUACUAUAGCUUGACACUGAACAUUGAGCCUUGAUGUGUAGGAUAGGUGGGAGGCUUUGAAGUGUGGACGCCAGUCUGCAUGGAGCCGACCUUGAAAUACCACCCUUUAAUGUUUGAUGUUCUAACGUUGGCCCCUGAUCGGGGUUGCGGACAGUGUCUGGUGGGUAGUUUGACUGGGGCGGUCUCCUCCUAAAGAGUAACGGAGGAGCACGAAGGUUGGCUAAUCCUGGUCGGACAUCAGGAGGUUAGUGCAAUGGCAUAAGCCAGCUUGACUGCGAGCGUGACGGCGCGAGCAGGUGCGAAAGCAGGUCAUAGUGAUCCGGUGGUUCUGAAUGGAAGGGCCAUCGCUCAACGGAUAAAAGGUACUCCGGGGAUAACAGGCUGAUACCGCCCAAGAGUUCAUAUCGACGGCGGUGUUUGGCACCUCGAUGUCGGCUCAUCACAUCCUGGGGCUGAAGUAGGUCCCAAGGGUAUGGCUGUUCGCCAUUUAAAGUGGUACGCGAGCUGGGUUUAGAACGUCGUGAGACAGUUCGGUCCCUAUCUGCCGUGGGCGCUGGAGAACUGAGGGGGGCUGCUCCUAGUACGAGAGGACCGGAGUGGACGCAUCACUGGUGUUCGGGUUGUCAUGCCAAUGGCACUGCCCGGUAGCUAAAUGCGGAAGAGAUAAGUGCUGAAAGCAUCUAAGCACGAAACUUGCCCCGAGAUGAGUUCUCCCUGACUCCCUGAGAGUCCUGAAGGAACGUUGAAGACGACGACGUUGAUAGGCCGGGUGUGUAAGCGCAGCGAUGCGUUGAGCUAACCGGUACUAAUGAACCGUGAGGCUUAACCUU